ACGAACGCUGGCGGCGUGCCUCAUACAUGCAAGUCGCACGCUUCUUUCCUCCCGAGUGCUUGCACUCAAUUGGAAAGGGGAGUGGCGGACGGGUGAGUAACACGUGGGUAACCUACCCAUCAGAGGGGGAUAACACUUGGAAACAGGUGCUAAUACCGCAUAACAGUUUAUGCCGCAUGGCAUAAGAGUGAAAGGCGCUUUCGGGUGUCGCUGAUGGAUGGACCCGCGGUGCAUUAGCUAGUUGGUGAGGUAACGGCUCACCAAGGCCACGAUGCAUAGCCGACCUGAGAGGGUGAUCGGCCACACUGGGACUGAGACACGGCCCAGACUCCUACGGGAGGCAGCAGUAGGGAAUCUUCGGCAAUGGACGAAAGUCUGACCGAGCAACGCCGCGUGAGUGAAGAAGGUUUUCGGAUCGUAAAACUCUGUUGUUAGAGAAGAACAAGGACGUUAGUAACUGAACGUCCCCUGACGGUAUCUAACCAGAAAGCCACGGCUAACUACGUG
Molecule: ribosomal RNA, 507 nt
Filed under: uncultured bacterium
Lineage: Bacteria
Description: partial 16S ribosomal RNA
Rfam family: Bacterial small subunit ribosomal RNA
Source: RNAcentral